UCGCGUGAUGCCACGGAUCAUUGCCUGCGUACAACCACUAAUGAAGAAGAAAGGCGGAAGUGUGCGUCGCAUCGGUUUCGAGACUUGAGAACAGUAAACCCAGUGUAAAAACAACAAAAUACUGAAAGAGUUGGUAAGAGAACUGCUAAUUGCGGCCGCUGAUGAAAUAUGCGUGUUGUCUGAAAAAACAAUAGCGUCAUACGAAGAGGAACUUUGUCGUAAAAGAGCGAAAAACGAGCGACAACGCCGCGAACUCGCUGCAGUCAGCAGAAACACGUUGUCCUACACGGCGAAGAUGUGCAGGAGUUGACUGCUCAUCAUGAAGAACUUCAAGGAGGUAGUUGCAAUUUAGAGCAGGAGGGUCUGGAGUUCUCCUACAUUAAAGAAGAGGAAGUGGAGGAUCCACAGCCCCUCUAUGUUAAAAAAAAAGAAUGAUAAGGAGCAGGAGGAGGCACUGAGCGUCAUCAUUGUGAAGAGCGAAGACGACGAACACAAACCACCUGAGUCGUCGCAGCUUCAUCCUUGCAGUCCAACUGGAGUCCACCCUGGAGGACCACCAACAGACCACCCCUUAGUUACACUAUUACACAGUGACAACAUAGAAAAACCUUCAAGGAGUAACGCAGACUGCGAAGAUGACGGCAAGCAUAAAGAACAUUUUACCCGCUCUCUGUGUGGAAACAUUUUUUCAUAUAAGUGCCAGCUGACUGCACACAUGAGAACGCACAGUGGAGAAAAACCCUUCAGUUGCUCAGUGUCCCAUAAACGUUUCACCCAAAAGGUACUGCUGUCACAAGGAAAACGGGGAGUAAUGGAAUCCACCUCCUUGGCCUGUAUGCACACUCACAACACAAGACCUCGUAACUGGAAAUAAAGCGUGUCAGGGCUCAUUUAAAGUUUCCUGAACAACAUUUGGACAAGUCAGUAAAAUACAGCGAGAAUAUAGUCUGUUCUGAUGAGCGCACAAUUGAACUCUUUGGGUGGCAUAAUGUAUACCACGUUAGGAAUAGAAAUGGCCGUUUAUAUCACUCUAAAAAUACGCGGGUAACACUGAAGUUCAGAGGUGGGAACAUGAUGGUGUGGGGCUGCUUUUCAACACAUGGUACUAGUAAACUACAUUAUUGAAGGAAGGAUAACUAGGCAAGUGUACAGUGAGGAAAAUAAGUAUUUGAACAUCCUGUUAUAUUCCAAGUUCUCCCACUUAGAAAUCAUUGAGGGGUCUGAAAUUUUCAUCGUAGGUGCAUCUCCACUGUGAGAGAGAUAAUCUAAAAAGAAAAAUCCAGAAAUCACAAUGUAUGAGUGUUUUUUAAUGAUUUAUUGUUAUGAUACAGCUGCAAAUAUGUAUUUGAACACCCGAGAAAACCACAGUUAAUAUUUGUUACAGUAGCCUUUGUUUGCAUAUAUAGAGGUCAAACGUUUCCUGGAGUUAUUCACCAAGGUUGCACACACUGCAGGAACGAUUUUGACCAAAUCCUCCACACAAAUUUUCUCUAGAUCCAACAGGUUUCUGGGCUGUCGCUGAGAAACAGAGUUUUCAGCUGUUUAGGUCUGAAGACUGACUAGGCCCCACCAAAACCUUGAUAUGCUUCUUACGGAGCCACUCCUUGGUUUUCCUGGCUGUGUACUUCGGGUCAUUGUCAAGUUGAAAGACCAAGCCAUGACCCAUCUUCAAUGCUCAGACUGAGGGAAAGAGGUUGUUCCCCAAAAUCUCACAAUACUUGGCCGCGGUCAUCCUCUUCUUAAUACAGUGCAGUCGUCCUGUCCCAUGUGCAGUAAAACACCGCCAAAGCAUGAUGCUACCAUCCCCAUGCUUCACAGUAGGGAUGGUGUUCUUGUGAUGGAACUCGUCAUUCGUCUCCCCCCAAACACGGUUAGUGGAAUUAUGACCAAAAAGUUACACUUUGGUAUCAUCUGACCACAAAACUUUCUCCCAUGACUCCUCUCUAAGACACCUCUUUAGUCUUGGCCAAGUUAUAAGUUUGACUCUUACAAAACUUUCUCCCAUGACACCUCUGUAUCAUCCAAAUGGUCAUUGGCAAACUUAAGACGGGCCUUGACAUGUGCUGGUUUAAGCAGGGGAACCUUCCGCGCCAUGCAGGAUUUCAAACCAUGAAGUCUUAUUGUAUUACCUACAGUCACCUUGGAAACGGUGGUCCCAGCUCUUUUCAGGUCAUUGACCAAGUCCUGUCGUGUGGUCUUGGGCUGAUUCCUCACCUUUCUUAGGAUCAUUGAGACCCCACAAGGUGAUAUCUUGCAUGGGGCUCCACUCCGAUUGAGAUUGACCAUCAUGUUUUGCUUCUUCCAUUUUCUAAUGAUUGCUCCAACAAGUUGCUUGGCAAUUUCUCCGUAGCCCUUUCCAGCCAUGUGCAGUUGUACAAUUUUGUCUCUGGUGUCUUUGGACAGCUCUCUGGUCUUGGCCAUGUUACAACUUUGAGUCUUACUGAUCGUAUGGGGUGGACAGGUGGCUUUAUGCAGCUAACGACCUCACACAGGUGCAUCUGAUUCAUGGAGUGGAGGUGGACUUUUAAAGGUGGACUAACAGGUCUUUGAGGGUCACAAUGCUAGCUGAUAGACAGGUGUUUAAAUACUUAUUUGGAGCUGUAUCACACAAAUAAAUUGUUAAAAAAAUCAUACAUUGUGAUUUCUGGAUUUUUCUUUUGAGAUUAUCUCUCACAGUGGACAUGCACCUACGAUGAAAAUGUGAGACCCCUCCAUGAUUUCUAAGUGGGAGAACAUGCAAUUUAGCAGGAUGUUCAAAUACUUAUUUUCUUCACUGUACAUGGGCAUUCUUGACAAAAAUCUGCUCCCAUUUGUGAGUAUGAUGAAAAUGAAAUGAGUGCACGUUAGCAGGAUAAUGAUCCAAAACAUACUGCCAGAGAAACUCAUAUUUUGUUUAGAAGAAAAACAAAUAAAGCUGCUUGAAUGCCGCAGCCAAUCACCUAACUUGAAUCCAAUUGAAAAUUCAGGUCAAGAACUGAAACCCGGGUUGAUAAAGGAAGCCCAGAGAGAAAUGGCCCACAAUCACACCAGAGCAAUGCGUAUGAUACAGACAGAAUUGCAAACUAGGGAUUUUCAAUUCUUUUUCCUUGUGUCACAGAGUGUGUCCCCAGCAUCUAGUGAAAUAUUGUCAAAAGCACCAUUGGAAAUAAAUUUUGGGAACAAAUGGUACUGUGUUAAAUACUUAUUUCAGCCACUGGGGAAAAAACGGAUU
This is an RNA transcript of Syngnathoides biaculeatus (alligator pipefish), 3211 nucleotides long. It is a transcript of the gene named gastrula zinc finger protein XlCGF7.1-like, with no coding region annotated. The record is from RefSeq and is a predicted model, not a curated record. The transcript is spliced from 3 exons. NCBI's taxonomy places the organism in Eukaryota, Metazoa, Chordata, Actinopteri, Syngnathiformes, Syngnathidae.